RNAcentral lists this ribosomal RNA (200 nucleotides) under uncultured bacterium. Its description in RNAcentral is "partial 16S ribosomal RNA". It matches the Rfam family "Bacterial small subunit ribosomal RNA", at positions 29 to 255 of the family's 1533-position model. The record is from RNAcentral.
AACGAACGCUGGCGGCAUGCCUAACACAUGCAAGUCGAACGAGACCUUCGGGUCUAGUGGCGCACGGGUGCGUAACGCGUGGGAAUCUGCCCUGGGGUGCGGAAUAACUCGGAGAAAUCCGUGCUAAUACCGCAUAAUGUCUUCGGACCAAAGAUUUAUUGCCCUGGGAUGAGCCCCGCGUAGGAUUAGCUUGUUGGUGA